CAGUAGCCGCGGUAAUACGAAGGGGGCUAGCGUUGUUUGGAAUCACUGGGCGUAAAGAGCACGUAGGCGGAUCUUUAAGUCAGAGGUGAAAUCCCGAGGCUCAACCUCGGAACUGCCUUUGAUACUGGGGAUCUCGAGUCCGGGAGAGGUGAGUGGAACUGCGAGUGUAGAGGUGAAAUUCGUAGAUAUUCGCAAGAACACCAGUGGCGAAGGCGGCUCACUGGCCCGGAACUGACGCUGAGGUGCGAAAGCGUGGGGAGCAAACAGGAUUAGAUACCCCCGUAGUCCCUGUCUCUUAUAU
RNAcentral lists this ribosomal RNA (301 nucleotides) under uncultured bacterium. RNAcentral's name for it is "partial 16S ribosomal RNA". It matches the Rfam family "Bacterial small subunit ribosomal RNA", at positions 509 to 809 of the family's 1533-position model. The record is from RNAcentral.